CCUACGGGCGGCAGCAGUGGGGGAUAUUGCACAAUGGGGGGAACCCUGAUGCAGCGACGCCGCGUGGGUGAAGGAGUGCUUCGGCAUGUAAAGCCCUAUCGGCAGGGAAGAAGCAAGACGGUACCUGACUAAGAAGCACCGGCUAACUACGUGCCAGCAGCCGCGGUAAUACGUAGGGGGCGAGCGUUAUCCGGAUUCACUGGGUGUAAAGGGAGCGUAGACGGCCAUGCAAGCCAGGGGUGAAAGCCCGGGGCCCAACCUCGGGACUGCCCUUGGAACUGUGCGGCUAGAGUGCGGGAGGGGCAGGCGGAAUUCCUGGUGUAGCGGUGAAAUGCGUAGAUAUCAGGAGGAACACCGGCGGCGAAGGCGGCCUGCUGGACUGCGACUGACGUUGAGGCUCGAAAGCGUGGGGAGCGAACAGGAUUAGAUACCCCUGUAGUC
Molecule: ribosomal RNA, 441 nt
Filed under: uncultured bacterium
Lineage: Bacteria
Description: partial 16S ribosomal RNA
Rfam family: Bacterial small subunit ribosomal RNA
Source: RNAcentral